RNAcentral lists this ribosomal RNA (254 nucleotides) under uncultured bacterium. RNAcentral describes it as "partial 16S ribosomal RNA". It matches the Rfam family "Bacterial small subunit ribosomal RNA", at positions 524 to 776 of the family's 1533-position model. The record is from RNAcentral.
UACGUAGGGUGCGAGCGUUGUCCGGAAUUAUUGGGCGUAAAGAGCUCGUAGGCGGUGUGUCACGUCGGCCGUGAAAACCUGCAGCUUAACUGUGGGCGUGCGGUCGAUACGGGCAUCACUGGAGUUCGGCAGGGGAGACUGGAAUUCCUGGUGUAGCGGUGAAAUGCGCAGAUAUCAGGAGGAACACCGGUGGCGAAGGCGGGUCUCUGGGCCGAUACUGACGCUGAGGAGCGAAAGCCAGGGGAGCAAACGGG